Molecule: small RNA, 132 nt
Filed under: Escherichia coli
Lineage: Bacteria; Pseudomonadati; Pseudomonadota; Gammaproteobacteria; Enterobacterales; Enterobacteriaceae
Description: RtT sRNA
Rfam family: RtT RNA
About the family: This family represents a bacterial cis-regulatory element known as RtT RNA. The exact function of RtT is unknown although it is thought that it may be involved in changing the cellular response in relation to amino acid starvation.
Source: RNAcentral
AUUCUGCCCAUGCGGGGAAGGAUGAGAAGCUUCGACCAAGGUUCGACUCGAGCGCCAGCGAAAGAGCGUUGCCGCAGGCAACGACCCGAAGGGCGAAGCGCGCAGCGCUGAGUAAUCCUUCCCCCACCACCA